CGGUGAUCUAGCCAUGGGCAGGUUGAAGGUUGGGUAACACUAACUGGAGGACCGAACCGACUAAUGUUGAAAAAUUAGCGGAUGACCUGUGGCUGGGGGUGAAAGGCCAAUCAAACCGGGAGAUAGCUGGUUCUCCCCGAAAGCUAUUUAGGUAGCGCCUCGUGAAUUCAUCUCCGGGGGUAGAGCACUGUUUCGGCUAGGGGGCCAUCCCGGCUUACCAACCCGAUGCAAACUGCGAAUACCGGAGAAUGUUAUCACGGGAGACACACGGCGGGUGCUAACGUCCGUCGUGAAGAGGGAAACAACCCAGACCGCCAGCUAAGGUCCCAAAGUCAUGGUUAAGUGGGAAACGAUGUGGGAAGGCCCAGACAGCCAGGAUGUUGGCUUAGAAGCAGCCAUCAUUUAAAGAAAGCGUAAUAGCUCACUGGUCGAGUCGGCCUGCGCGGAAGAUGUAACGGGGCUAAACCAUGCACCGAAGCUGCGGCAGCGACACUGUGUGUUGUUGGGUAGGGGAGCGUUCUGUAAGCCUGCGAAGGUGGCCUGUGAGGGUUGCUGGAGGUAUCAGAAGUGCGAAUGCUGACAUAAGUAACGAUAAAGCGGGUGAAAAGCCCGCUCGCCGGAAGACCAAGGGUUCCUGUCCAACGUUAAUCGGGGCAGGGUGAGUCGACCCCUAAGGCGAGGCCGAAAGGCGUAGUCGAUGGGAAACGGGUUAAUAUUCCCGUACUUGGUGUUACUGCGAAGGGGGGACGGAGAAGGCUAUGUUGGCCGGGCGACGGUUGUCCCGGUUUAAGCGUGUAGGUGUGUGUUCCAGGUAAAUCCGGUUCACUUUAACACUGAGGCGUGACGACGAGGCACUACGGUGCUGAAGCAACAAAUGCCCUGCUUCCAGGAAAAGCCUCUAAGCAUCAGGUAACAUCAAAUCGUACCCCAAACCGACACAGGUGGUCAGGUAGAGAAUACCAAGGCGCUUGAGAGAACUCGGGUGAAGGAACUAGGCAAAAUGGUGCCGUAACUUCGGGAGAAGGCACGCUGACACGUAGGUGAAGUGAUUUACUCAUGGAGCUGAAGUCAGUCGAAGAUACCAGCUGGCUGCAACUGUUUAUUAAAAACACAGCACUGUGCAAACACGAAAGUGGACGUAUACGGUGUGACGCCUGCCCGGUGCCGGAAGGUUAAUUGAUGGGGUCAGCGCAAGCGAAGCUCCUGAUCGAAGCCCCGGUAAACGGCGGCCGUAACUAUAACGGUCCUAAGGUAGCGAAAUUCCUUGUCGGGUAAGUUCCGACCUGCACGAAUGGCGUAAUGAUGGCCAGGCUGUCUCCACCCGAGACUCAGUGAAAUUGAACUCGCUGUGAAGAUGCAGUGUACCCGCGGCAAGACGGAAAGACCCCGUGAACCUUUACUAUAGCUUGACACUGAACAUUGAGCCUUGAUGUGUAGGAUAGGUGGGAGGCUUUGAAGUGUGGACGCCAGUCUGCAUGGAGCCGACCUUGAAAUACCACCCUUUAAUGUUUGAUGUUCUAACGUGGACCCGUUACCCGGGUUGCGGACAGUGUCUGGUGGGUAGUUUGACUGGGGCGGUCUCCUCCUAAAGAGUAACGGAGGAGCACGAAGGUUGGCUAAUCCUGGUCGGACAUCAGGAGGUUAGUGCAAUGGCAUAAGCCAGCUUGACUGCGAGCGUGACGGCGCGAGCAGGUGCGAAAGCAGGUCAUAGUGAUCCGGUGGUUCUGAAUGGAAGGGCCAUCGCUCAACGGAUAAAAGGUACUCCGGGGAUAACAGGCUGAUACCGCCCAAGAGUUCAUAUCGACGGCGGUGUUUGGCACCUCGAUGUCGGCUCAUCACAUCCUGGGGCUGAAGUAGGUCCCAAGGGUAUGGCUGUUCGCCAUUUAAAGUGGUACGCGAGCUGGGUUUAGAACGUCGUGAGACAGUUCGGUCCCUAUCUGCCGUGGGCGCUGGAGAACUGAGGGGGGCUGCUCCUAGUACGAGAGGACCGGAGUGGACGCAUCACUGGUGUUCGGGUUGUCAUGCCAAUGGCACUGCCCGGUAGCUAAAUGCGGAAGAGAUAAGUGCUGAAAGCAUCUAAGCACGAAACUUGCCCCGA
This 2098-nucleotide ribosomal RNA is filed under the name Salmonella enterica subsp. enterica serovar Enteritidis. RNAcentral's name for it is "partial 23S ribosomal RNA". It matches the Rfam family "Bacterial large subunit ribosomal RNA", at positions 723 to 2802 of the family's 2925-position model. The record is from RNAcentral. Lineage: Bacteria; Pseudomonadati; Pseudomonadota; Gammaproteobacteria; Enterobacterales; Enterobacteriaceae.